Molecule: ribosomal RNA, 245 nt
Filed under: uncultured bacterium
Lineage: Bacteria
Description: partial 16S ribosomal RNA
Rfam family: Bacterial small subunit ribosomal RNA
Source: RNAcentral
AACGUAGGAGACAAGCGUUAUCCGGAGUUACUGGGCGUAAAGGGCGUGCAGGCGGCAGACUAAGUUCGAUGUGAAACCGCCCGGCUUAACCGGGUGCGGUCAUCGGAGACUGGUCAGCUCGAGGGCGACAGAGGCGUGUGGAAUUCCGGGUGUAGUGGUGAAAUGCGUAGAUAUCCGGAGGAACACCAGUGGCGAAGGCGGCACGCUGGGUCGUACCUGACGCUGAUACGCGACAGCAUGGGGAG